GGAAUUUUUGACAAUGGGGGAAACCCUGCUCAAGCAACGCCGCGUGGAUGAUGAAGUAUCUCGGUACGUAAAAUCCUUUCGACAUGAAAGAAACCUACGGGUUGACGGUACCUGCAGAAGAAGCCCCGGCUACCUCCGUGCCAGCAGCCGCGGUAAUACGGGGGGGGCAAGCGUUGUUCGGAUUUACUGGGCGUAAAGGGCGCGUAGGCGGUUUGUUAAGUCGGAUGUGAAAACUCUUGGCUCAACCAAGAGCCUGCAUCCGAUACUGGCAGGCUAGAGUGCGAGAGGGGAAAGCGGAAUUCCUGGUGUAGCGGUGAAAUGCGUAGAUAUCAGGAGGAACACCGGCGGCGAAGGCGGCUUUCUGGAUCGCAACUGACGCUGAGGCGCGAAAGCUAGGGGAGCAAAC
RNAcentral lists this ribosomal RNA (406 nucleotides) under uncultured bacterium. RNAcentral's name for it is "bacterial SSU rRNA". It matches the Rfam family "Bacterial small subunit ribosomal RNA", at positions 358 to 773 of the family's 1533-position model. The record is from RNAcentral.